Molecule: long non-coding RNA, 325 nt
Organism: Boleophthalmus pectinirostris (great blue-spotted mudskipper)
Lineage: Eukaryota; Metazoa; Chordata; Actinopteri; Gobiiformes; Gobiidae
Exons: 3
Source: RefSeq, a predicted model, not a curated record
UAACAGACCAGGCAUUUAUUUGAGACCAGGCGGCGAUUUGGGACAGACGAUAAAUUCCUUCCUCACAAAAACUGGGUGAAAGUCAAAGCUGUGAUGGUCAAUAUUUCCGAUCUGAACACUGAAUGCAAUGACUAGAUGUAAUGUGAUUCGGUUGACGCCACAGCCAAGGCUCCAGAGGUCACCGUCUCUGGAUUUACAUCUCAUCCCAAGAGCCUUUAUGAGCAGAUCUGGUCCGUAACUUAGCCUAUUUGCAUCUUCUGCUGUCUCCAUGGAGAUAAGUUUAAAGCCAUACAGUGGAGCACCAGGCGAAGCAAUACGAUCUCCA